AACAAUCUCCCCCUUUGGCGAUUUCGUGACAAAAUAUAUUACAAUGCUCGUACACAACUCAGAAACAAUAAAAAGAAGAUCAUCGCAAUCACCAAACGACAAUCUCCUGCAUGAUCGAUCCAAUAAAAGAAAAAUUACACUUUGCUCACAUUCCUAAAACAAACUCUAUGAGUUAAACAUGGAGUCUUGAAGUCUUGAACAUU
RNAcentral lists this long non-coding RNA (203 nucleotides) under Ananas comosus (pineapple). RNAcentral describes it as "long non-coding RNA (ACOM_LNC003639)". Lineage: Eukaryota; Viridiplantae; Streptophyta; Magnoliopsida; Poales; Bromeliaceae. The record is from RNAcentral.